UUAGUAUUGUGUUUGGUGUUACUGGGUACUAAAAUAAAUGAGUUUACGUAACACCUUUUUUUUAUUUUGACCUUCUUAGAUGAUGAUGUUAUUGUGGAUACUCAAAUAAAUUAUCUUUAGAUAGCAACAUCAUUUUAAACUAUAAACCAAGUAAACUAUAUUUUAAUCCUAUGUAAUAUCAAAUAUUAGUAAAUAUUAGUAUAACUUAAGACACCUCAUAUAAAGUAUAUAACAACCUUAAAAAUAUAAAGAGGUAUAAUGUAAUCUCGAGCAUCAAACAACGAUGGACGUGAAGAGAUCAAUUGAGUCCGCGCAUCUCUUUGUCGCUAAACCCUUGAAUGGGUAGCGGUACAUACGAGUGGGGUAUAGUUGAUUAGCAAUGUGUUUUGGUGGCGAUUAAUAGGGAGAUUAGUAGUGAUGGAUUAGGGGGUUGGUUGCCCGAAAUGACAUCAUUGACAUGAACCAUAAUGUUUGAUCGAGAGAGAGAGAGGGAGGGCUCUAUGCCUCUAUCUAAUAUUGUAGGCCUAGCUAGAGCCCGUAGAGGAGAGGAUUAGAUUAGGCCUCUGUCUUCUGUCUCUAGGAGAGGAUUAGAUUAGGCCUCUGUCUUCUGUCUCUAGGAGAGGAUUAGAUUAGGGCCUCUGUCUGUCCGUACGGGUGAUCGAGGAGGAUCCUGAGUCGAUUAGUUGGGUACCGCGUGGGAAACAGCUGUAUCCUUUCUUCUUUCUAUGAUCAUGUGGGCAUUAUGACCAGACAUGUACAUGUACUACUAGCUAGCUAGUAGAGUCUAGCUAGUACAGAUCCAUUAUCUCGUUUCCUGCUCCGACUGUCCCAUUCUAUCAUAAUCUUUCCCAACACCAUCUCACGCUCUCUUGCUCUUGCUCUUGGAGAAAAAGGAUUUCUAUGAUUCUACAGACCAAGAAAAAAAAAACUGGAUGAUUCUUGUUAGAUUUGUUCUCGGAUUUGUUAUUGGCAAGCCUACUUACCUAUGAUUCAAUCAGAUUACCUUACAGUACUAAUUAAACUUCAGUUCUACUAUAAAUAUGAAGGAUGUAUUUAUAGAUUAUUUAGAUUUUUAAGUGAAAUUUCAAUUCAUCCAAUUUUGGGUUAACGUCAGUUUUCUCUUCCAAUCCCAUCCAAUUUGGUUUUCUCAGCAAAAGCUUUCUUCCAUCUACAUGCAUCGAGUCAUUCAAAGUCUAUAUUUUCUUCUUCGUUUUUUGUCUGGUAAAACUACACUAGAUAUUUACAAAAUACGUUGUCAUUCAAGAGAAACAUGUUUCAGUCACGUUUUGAAAAUCUUCCUCGCAUUUCGAUCACGUUUCAGAAAUCUUUCUUUGCAGAAAUGUGUUUCGGUUUCUGAAACGCGAAAUGCCUGUUUUCGAGAAUUGCGGUGCAUCAUAUACUAUAACAUAUCAUUUGUUUAUUUUGAUAAAAAAAAAAUAGAUGUGAAAAAAACACCAACACUCCGUUAAAAUUGAUAAUUCUAAAGUACUAUAAUGCAUAACGAACUGAAAUAAACACCUUAUUUUGCUAUUUUGAUUGAAAUGCUCAUAAAAGACAAAAUCUAAGUUGGUGAAAACCAAAUUUUAAAUUACCAAAAACAAAUAUGGAGUGUGGAUAAUGAGUAUGGAUAUCACUCUUGCUUAC
This 1644-nucleotide long non-coding RNA is filed under the name Fragaria vesca (wild strawberry). RNAcentral describes it as "long non-coding RNA (FVES_LNC002474)". The record is from RNAcentral. Lineage: Eukaryota; Viridiplantae; Streptophyta; Magnoliopsida; Rosales; Rosaceae.